UUUCAGAAAACAAAGGUGCGUGGUCUCUACUCCACCAAAAUGGAAAGACUUUGGUCCCUCCAUGACGGUUUCUUCUCCUUUCAACCUUUUGCUUUCAACUUUGGUUUUUCCAUUUUAAAGUACAAACAAAUUUAAGUGAAGGUAAUAAUUUGAAAGAAAAAAAAAAGUGGAAUACAUUAGUAAAAUUACCGUGGAGAAUUUUGUAUUACAAGUUAGAUUGCAAAAAAAUGAGUAAAUUAAUCUCUGUACAUUAGAUCCAGGAGCAAAUAAGUCCUAUUAAAAAAUCCAUCUAUUUCUGCUGUUAAAAAUUAAUCUUCAUAUGUUGGCAUGAGGUAUAUGCAUGUGGCAUGAAACAUGUCACUGUCUGGUUAUUCCGUCAAUCACAUUAGUUUUUAAAAGUGAAAAUGAAUGAAAUUUUUAACAAAAAUGAUCGAAUGGCUCUUUAAUCUAAUGUACAUGGACCAAUUUGUUAUUUAUUGAGUAGAUAGAGCAAAAUGCAACCGACUUUUAAUACAGGAACCUCAAUGAUACUUUAUCAUGUCUAUUAUAAAUAUAGCAAAUUCUAUAUAAAUAUUUUAAAUAAAAUCUUAAAUAUCUAUUUUAUGUGAAAAAAGAAUUGGGUAAUUGAGAUGGUGAAUAUAUAUAUAUAUAUAUAUAUAUAAUAAGGUAGGAUUAGAUUGAGUGGAGUCAAAUACAAGAACAAUGUAAAGAGUCAAUCAACGAGAACAGAUAGGAAUUGAAUUAUCAUCUUAUUAACCUAAAGUUGAGUGUAUAUAAAGGAAUAAACUCAAUUAAUAUUCAAGGAGUUCUCAACAACAAAAAUUAAUGGAGAUAAAAUAGUAAAGUCGAAAAUGAAAAACAAACUAACCAUUGAAAACUAGAAACUAAAUAACAAAUAAAUUAAAGGAGUAAAUGUUAAAAUUAUAUACCAAUUUUGAUUUAAUACGUCAUGAAUUUUAUUUUACAUGAUAAGAGUUGGUUCUAUUUUUUUUUUUUUUUUGAGAUUUUUGAUUCUAUACUUCUUGUUAUACUAUACGUUGAUAAUGACGGUAGAAAUGAUCGCAAAGCAAUAAGAAAGAAAAAUAAGAACACGUAGAUUUUACGAUGAAAACUCUUAUUGGGAAAAAAACUAUGGGUAGAGGAGUAGGAAUUCACUAAUGUUGAAAAACAAUAAUACAAGAGGUUUGCGGCUAUGCGUAGUUUUUAAAGGCUAAACAACUCGUCUAAUAAAAGAAGUAUAGUUUUAUACGGAUUCAACUUGUGCGGCAAGAUUUGGUCCUUAGACCUUCGACCCCCAAUUUUGCAUCUCUAUUUUAUUUCUUUAACAAGUGAGUUGCACAUCGUAUUUUUCAGGCUGGAUCAAACGGGGUUCGGAUUAUACAACUCUUAACACUUCUCUUACAUUUAAGAUUUUAAAUUUCUACUUUAAUUUUGACAUAAUUUGAUACCUCAACUUUUUUUUUUGUUAUAUUCAGAUACCAAAUCAUUUUUUUAGCUUAACAAAUAUUAAACCAAUAAAUUGAACAGAAAAUUUUCUACAUUAAAUUUUAGAAAAUAAAAUUAUGGAUAUUAAAUUCUAAAAUAAUAUAAGAUAUAGUGACGUGUUACAUAAAUUGAAGUUAUAAAUUAUGAUUAAAUUCAUACAAAAUAUUAGGAAAAAGAAAAGAAAUGUUGGAAGUAUCGUCCACGUUGUUUGUCGGCCUCUUUAAUCAUAAAAAAGAAAUAAAGAAAUAAGAGUAUGAAGAAACCAGAAACAGUCCCCUAGAUUUUAUUCCAAAGAGAUUAGUGGGUGCAGUUGACCAUGUCCUGUCUCUCCCCCAUUAAACUUUCACAUCAACUUAUUAUUAUUUUGAUUAAUUUAACUAAUCUCAUACACAUUCAAGUGGCUCAUGAUGAAGAGAUAAACUAAACCAUCAUCAGCAGAUAAGGACUCCGUUUAUCCACCUCAUCAAUCUAAUCACUUGGAUAGAAUUCCUGAUCUUUUUUCUUUGUAUUGGGUGCCCCAUCAAUUCAAAUAUUUUAAGCCCCUUGUUUACUCACACAAUGGAAGAUAUAUUCCGAAGGACCCAAAGGGAAAUCAAGACUUUUGUGAAUCAAAAUAGCUUCCAAUAGGGGUUUAUAUAGGUCUCGAUUUUAGGUUUUGUUUACACUUUUUGAAGGAAUGGAUUACUUUUUGAAUCUUGUCAUUCAAGUUUACAAUUUUCAUUAAUAAUGUAUUAAAUGAUUUUUUAAUAUUUACUAGUGUUAUAUUUUUUUAGGUCAAUAUUCGUGUGACGAAUCUUGUCAGAAGACUGUAAUUCAUACUAUAUAAUCAAUGCUACUUAUUUCAUCACUCUCUUGCCUCGUGGACCUUGAAAGGUCCUGUCAUAGGCUAGUCGAGUUGACCUACGAAGACAAGACUCUCCAUAGCCACUAAAGGCACGUGUUUGACAUGACUUAUCAAACUUACUAUCUAAAGGGCAACUGGCUGCAUAGGAACCACUCAAAGAACAUCGUAC
RNAcentral lists this long non-coding RNA (2498 nucleotides) under Gossypium barbadense (sea-island cotton). Its description in RNAcentral is "long non-coding RNA (GBAR_LNC017517)". Lineage: Eukaryota; Viridiplantae; Streptophyta; Magnoliopsida; Malvales; Malvaceae. The record is from RNAcentral.